GCAUAACUGUGGGAGAAUAGUAAGCAUUGGACACAAAAUGGUUUAGGCAAAUAAUGAUGAACAAAAAUGGUCAUUCUGUGUUCCUGCUGACCCAGCACAGUGGGGACGCUGUGUAGGACAUGACCUUUGGGGGAAGGGAACACAAGAACUCAGCGUGGGGGAUUCAGAAAAGAAGUCGCACGUAUUGAAGCCAGUAACGCCAAGCCAGUGAAUUCUCCUUGACGAGAAAGACCCACUUACUCUGCAAAAGAGAUAUAUGACAGCUGACAAUCCCUGGAGGAGAAUCUUUCUACUAAAUUGGUAAGGGAUGCUAAGCAAAUGAUGUGGACUCAGGAAACAACGCAUUUCAUGAUAUACGGUUGCCUCUCAAGGUGAAUUCGAG
Molecule: long non-coding RNA, 382 nt
Filed under: Pan troglodytes (chimpanzee)
Lineage: Eukaryota; Metazoa; Chordata; Mammalia; Primates; Hominidae
Description: long non-coding RNA NONPTRT012822
Source: RNAcentral